AUUGAACGCUGGCGGCAUGCUUUACACAUGCAAGUCGAACGGGCUGGGGGCGAACUCCAGUCAGUGGCGAACGGGUGAGUAAUACAUCGGAACGUACCUCGUAGUGGGGAGUAACUCGCGAAAGCCGUGCUAAUACCGCAUAUGCUCUACGGAGGAAAGCAGGGACCGUACAGGCCUUGUGCUAUGGGAGCGGCCGAUGUCCGAUUAGCUAGUUGGUGAGGAAU
Molecule: ribosomal RNA, 224 nt
Filed under: uncultured bacterium
Lineage: Bacteria
Description: partial 16S ribosomal RNA
Rfam family: Bacterial small subunit ribosomal RNA
Source: RNAcentral